GUGGGGAAUCUUGGACAAUGGGGGCAACCCUGAUCCAGCCAUGCCGCGUGAGUGAUGAAGGCCCUAGGGUCGUAAAGCUCUUUCGCCUGUGAAGAUAAUGACUGUAGCAGGUAAAGAAACCCCGGCUAACUCCGUGCCAGCAGCCGCGGUAAUACGGAGGGGGUUAGCGUUGUUCGGAAUUACUGGGCGUAAAGCGCGCGUAGGCGGACUGGAAAGUUGGGGGUGAAAUCCCAGGGCUCAACCCUGGAACUGCCUCCAAAACUAUCAGUCUAGAGUUCGAGAGAGGUGAGUGGAAUUCCGAGUGUAGAGGUGAAAUUCGUAGAUAUUCGGAGGAACACCAGUGGCGAAGGCGGCUCACUGGCUCGAUACUGACGCUGAGGUGCGAAAGUGUGGGGAGCAAACAGGAUUAGAAACCCCAGUAGUCC
RNAcentral lists this ribosomal RNA (425 nucleotides) under uncultured Paracoccaceae bacterium. Its description in RNAcentral is "bacterial SSU rRNA". It matches the Rfam family "Bacterial small subunit ribosomal RNA", at positions 354 to 796 of the family's 1533-position model. Lineage: Bacteria; Pseudomonadati; Pseudomonadota; Alphaproteobacteria; Rhodobacterales; Paracoccaceae. The record is from RNAcentral.